Molecule: small RNA, 529 nt
Filed under: Pongo abelii (Sumatran orangutan)
Lineage: Eukaryota; Metazoa; Chordata; Mammalia; Primates; Hominidae
Description: processed transcript
Source: RNAcentral
GUUGUUGCAACUUUGUGAGAUCCUGGGGAAGGUGCUGAGACUUUGGCUCGGGCCGAUUUCCCAGUCUCGGGAUCCUUGCAGGGAUUCCCUGAGCCGCAUCCUCUCUUCCCUCCACGCGCACUCGCGGGUCCUCGGAGCCCGCUGCCCUCUCUGUCCUGGCCCCUCGGCCUACUCACCCGUCCCGUCCCCUUCAGUUCCCCCCAGCCUGCACGGGGAAGACUUGCUGAGGGUCGCCCCGGUUUCUUGUCGACCGCAGAACCCGAAAGUUUGCAAGAGGAAGAGAGCGCGCGGCGAACGAGCGAGCGGGCCGGGGGCAGCGGCGCCGGGGACCAUGGUGCUGCCGGCGCCUCCUCCGCGGGCGUGAAGGCGGCGCUCCUACUCCCUCCCCGGACUCCGCGGUGUCCCAGAAGCUUUUGUUGACAAUUCCAGUUUCCGAACAAAACAUUUCGGCAAUGGUGAGGGCUUCGAUCCCUUCUCUGAUUUGCUGUCAGCCAUGAGCGGAUGGAUGUGAUGCCUGCUAGCCAAAAGG